UACGUAGGGUGCGAGCGUUGUCCGGAAUUAUUGGGCGUAAAGGGCUCGUAGGCGGUCUGUUGCGUCAGGAGUGAAAACUCGGGGCUUAACCCCGGGCCUGCAGUGGGUACGGGCAGACUAGAGUGCGGUAGGGGAGACUGGAAUUCCUGGUGUAGCGGUGAAAUGCGCAGAUAUCAGGAGGAACACCGGUGGCGAAGGCGGCUUGCUGGGCCAGUUCUGACGCUGAGGAGCGAAAGCGUGGGGAGCGAACAGG
Molecule: ribosomal RNA, 253 nt
Filed under: uncultured bacterium
Lineage: Bacteria
Description: partial 16S ribosomal RNA
Rfam family: Bacterial small subunit ribosomal RNA
Source: RNAcentral